UGGGGAAUAUUGGACAAUGGGGGCAACCCUGAUCCAGCAAUGCCGCGUGUGUGAAGAAGGCCUUCGGGUUGUAAAGCACUUUUAUCGGGAACGAAACAUUGUCGGCCAAUACCCGGCAAGACUGACGGUACCCGAGGAAUAAGCACCGGCUAACUCCGUGCCAGCAGCCGCGGUAAUACGGAGGGUGCAAGCGUUAAUCGGAAUUACUGGGCGUAAAGCGUGCGCAGGCGGUUUGUUAAGUCUGCUGUGAAAUCCCCGAGCUCAACUUGGGAAUUGCAGUGGAUACUGGCAAGCUGGAGUACGGUAGAGGAAGGUGGAAUUCCCGGUGUAGCAGUGAAAUGCGUAGAGAUCGGGAGGAACACCAGUGGCGAAGGCGGCCUUCUGGACCAGUACUGACGCUCAUGCACGAAAGCGUGGGGAGCAAACA
RNAcentral lists this ribosomal RNA (427 nucleotides) under uncultured bacterium. RNAcentral's name for it is "bacterial SSU rRNA". It matches the Rfam family "Bacterial small subunit ribosomal RNA", at positions 355 to 774 of the family's 1533-position model. The record is from RNAcentral.